CAGAUUCUCUCUUCGGAACGCCUCCGAGUC
Molecule: non-coding RNA, 30 nt
Filed under: Mus musculus (house mouse)
Lineage: Eukaryota; Metazoa; Chordata; Mammalia; Rodentia; Muridae
Source: RNAcentral